AGAAAGGACACAGGACUUGGAGUCAGACAGUCCUGGCACUGAGUCAUGUCUCCACUACCUACUCGCUGCUCUGUAGUUUCACUGAAACUGGGUCUCCAGUUGAAUGAUGAAAUGAUGAGAACUACUUUCAGAGUUGUAGGGGUUCAUCGUGAGGGUGGUGUGAAGGGAUGAGGCAAGCGCUCACAUGUGUUAUUUUCCUUCUCUUUCAAGUCUAGUGAGCAACUCUGUGAGCCUGGCAUUCCCCCUCAUUCCACAGCUAAGACGCCCAGAGAGGCCAAGUGAGUCUCUCAAGGACGUUAACCCGCAUAUGUUGAGGGCGGGCUUUGAACCUCUGACCCCAGAGGUCCAGCUCAACCACACUGUCCACUCCGGCACAGUGACCUUGAAGAUCAGCUGCUCGAGCUCACACAUGGGGUGUGGGCCUCCCAAAAUUGAAUGCCGAGGCUCGGCCACAGAGGGUGAGAUGGAAUCCUGGUGUUUGGGAACACAGUGGAGUCACCCGGGCUACCAGGGGUGCCUGUUCUGCAGAGGUCAGCUGUCACAAGCCCAUCUGAAAUUGGCAUCAGGCUAAAACAGGGUGUGUGUCCCCCUGGGCCAUAUCAGAGGAGAGUGCUCAGAGGAGGAGACUCAGGCGUCUUAGAAAACUCCGGGUCAAGCGACACAGGGACCUGCCUGCAAAGAGCCUUUCAGAUGGCGACUCCUAAAGACAGUUGUUUUGCCUACUGACCCAACCUGAUAUUUUGGGGUUGGGGUGUCCAAGUUUUUCCUCCCCUGGACAAAAGGAUAAAGGACUUCAUGCUGGUCUACAUUUAAUAUCCAGAAUUAGGCAAAGAAUCCAGAGUCACAGAGCCAGCUCUGCUGAGACAACCAGCCUUGCCCUCCUCCCGCGAGUGCUGUGACAUCUUGACAAGAGUGCACGUUUAGCUCACCAGCUUCCUCCUGUGGCUCCCCUUUCCCUCCCACAAGCCACUCAUUUCAGAACUACUUCUCUCCUGACCUGCCAUGGACAUGGGCCCUUCACUCUCAUCCACAUCGACAGCAGCCAGCACCUCAGGCACCCAAAGGGGCUUCCUUAGAGCAGCAGAGGGUCCACAGGCUCUGGGCUGGGCACUGGGGAAGCAAGGCCCAAAGUCAACACUUUGUCCUAAAUUGGGUUGUCUGUGACGGGGUAUGGGAGCCUGGAGAGUCUGCAUUUGAUUUUGCUGAGAGAGACACAAAGGCUUCUGUGUGUUUUUACUUGCUAAGUCAUAUCUAAUUUUUUGCGACCCCCAUAGACUGUAGACCAUCAGGCUCCUCUGUUUAUGGAAUUCUCCAGGCAAGAAUACUGGAGUAAGUUGCCAUUUCCUUCUCCAGGGGAUCUUCCCAACCCAGGAAUCAAACUGGCAUCUCCUGCAUUACCAGGCAAAUUCUUUACCGCUGGCCCACCUGGGAAAAGGCGUCUACACUCCUAAUUAAAUCCAGCAUCAACUGCAACCAGACCUGAGGCAAGGCUCAAGCGGGCAAAACAGGAUUAGGGCUUCUGUGAUGCUGGGGUUGCUUAUGAGAUGCUCAGUUCUCAAGAUUUAUCUUCCAAUUCCCCGAACAUGCAUCUAAAAGUAGCAUUUGGUUUUCUAAGCAAUGAAACACAUGUCAGUGAACACACAUGUCAUCGCCACAGCAUAGCCAGGGGAAGAGGUAGGCACUCCGCAGAGCAAAAGAGAGGGUUUUCUCAACUGCCUUCCUCCCCACCCUUGUGUCACUGCCUCUUUGAUCCCAGGCGCUCAUCUACCCUUCUCUCCAGAUGGAUCCCAUCUCUCUAUCAUCUUGAGGGCCACUGUUCUUCCCAAAAGGCCAUGAGCACCUUGUCUUGGCAGGUAUUUCUAAUAGAAAUGGGCAGGCACACACAGAGUUGAAGUGAGAAGAGUUUGAUGAAAGGACUACGCAGAGCAGAGCAGGGUUUGGGGUGUCACCAAAAGGAUGACAGAGCACCUAGAAACUAGCAAGAGUAAGAAGCCCUCACCACCUCCAGGCCUAAGAGGGCAAGAGAUGAGAGAGCUGCAGCUAUACAAGAGGGCUAUCCACCAGGGCUGGAGCCUAGGGGAGCAUGACCACCACCAUGGCCACAGCAGGAAG
Bos taurus (domestic cattle) is the source of this 2112-nucleotide long non-coding RNA. The record is from Ensembl. Lineage: Eukaryota; Metazoa; Chordata; Mammalia; Artiodactyla; Bovidae.